RNAcentral lists this long non-coding RNA (1366 nucleotides) under Capra hircus (goat). RNAcentral describes it as "lncRNA (ENSCHIG00010009383.1)". The record is from RNAcentral. Lineage: Eukaryota; Metazoa; Chordata; Mammalia; Artiodactyla; Bovidae.
GAAUUGUGUUUGAGAAAAAAAACGACUGUUCCAAAUGACUUCAUGACUCAAGGAAACACUUUGCUGCACAGAUGAAUCUGCUUCUGAGAGAAAGCUAACGUAAGCAGGAUUAGGUAUUUGAGAAAAGCAUUCACCAAAGGAAAAUGUAUGUGAAACACGGGGCUGGUGGCCCCCUUAUGACAACGAGGCCAAAAGUGAGGGACUGGCCCGCAGAGCAGAUAAAAGUACGGUAACGAGAAGCUGUAUGUAAUUGCUGGUAAAACACAGGGCGCAUCGGUAUCCAUCCACCACCACCCAACGCUGGGAAAACACGGUCCGAAGGAGGUGCCCUCUGCUAGGCUGGGUUUUUGAGGUUUGCCGCAAGAAGCACAUUCACUUUGAACCCAAGAACCUAAGUUCUGUUCCAAGAGGCUUUCCAACCAGUAUCGACUGUGUUUCAGAUCGAGUUGCUGCUGAGAUAAGGAUGGCUGGGAAGGGUAUUCUCUGAAUAGCAAGGUGUUAGAGCUGGCUUCUUCAAAGUACCUAUUUCCUCUCCAGCUGGUAGUUCUUUUAGGUGUAUGUGAUUUUGAAAAAAUUAAGAUGACAUUCACAGAACAUAAAACUCACCAUUUGAACACAUUAUUGACUGAGGGAGUUUUGCAGAAACCAAUGCCUGUGGUCACCACACAUCUCUAGCCAACAACGCGCUAAGCGGCCAACCCGGUGGCCUUUGGUAUAGCCACAACCGUGCGCAGCCACUACCACCGCCUGAUUCCAAGCGUCUCACCGUCCCCGGACCUCGUCGCCCACACACAGGCAGUCACUCCCGUUUCCCGCCCCGCCAUCCCCGGGAACCGCUGACCUACUUCUGUGUCUGUGGAUGUGCCUAUUGGAACAUUUCACAUAAUUGGGAUUAUACAACAUGUGGCUUCUUGUGUCUGGCUUCUACCUUUUUUAAAACCUUUUUAUUUUAUACUGGGGAACCGGGGCUUCCCAGGUGGCGCUAGUGGUAAAGAACCCGCCUGCCAGUGAGGGAGACAGGAGACGAGGGCUCGAGCCCCGGGUGGGGAAGGUCCCCUGGAGGAGGGCCUGGCCACCCACUGCAGUGCUCUUGCCUGGAGAACCCCACGGACAGAGGGGCCUAGCGGGCUACGUCCCCAGGUCACAGAGUCGGACGCCCCUGAGGGACCGGGCACGCAGCGGAUCAACAGUGCUGCGGGCGUUUCAGAUGAACAGCAAAGGGACCCGGGCUGCUCGUCCUCUUCACUGGCGGUUCUUAGACCAUUCCAAAAGGGCGGUCAUUCCACGGACACCAAGCCAAGCUGCUGAGGAUCCCUGGCCUGCCCCUGACCGCACUUCAGUUUCUAGAGCUUCUCUGAUCCCGUGA